Molecule: ribosomal RNA, 497 nt
Filed under: uncultured bacterium
Lineage: Bacteria
Description: partial 16S ribosomal RNA
Rfam family: Bacterial small subunit ribosomal RNA
Source: RNAcentral
GAUGAACGCUGGCGGCGUGCCUAAUACAUGCAAGUCGAGCGAAUAGACGAGGAGCUUGCUCCUCUGACGUUAGCGGCGACCGGGUGAGAACCACGUGGAAAACCUACCUAUAAGACUGGGAUAACUUCGGAAAACCGGUGCUAUUACCGGAUAAUAUAUUGAACCGCAUGGUUCAAUAGUGAAAGACGGUUUUGCUGUCACUUAUAGAUGGAUCCGCGCCGCAUUAGCUAGUUGGUAAGGUAACGGCUUACCAAGGCAACGAUGCGUAGCCGACCUGAGAGGGUGAUCGGCCACACUGGAACUGAGACACGGUCCAGACUCCUACGGGAGGCAGCAGUAGUGAAUCUUCCGCAAUGGGCGAAAGCCUGACGGAGCAACGCCGCGUGAGUGAUGAAGGUCUUCGGAUCGUAAAACUCUGUUAUUAGGGAAGAACAAAUGUGUAAGUAACUAUGCACGUCUUGACGGUACCUAAUCAGAAAGCCACGGCUAACUACGUG